GUGCCUUUCUAAGAGAGCCCCUUGCCCCUUCUGUCAUGUGAGAUUACAGAGAAAAGGUGGCUGUCUGGGGAGCAGGCCCUCAGCAGAUGCAGAAAUGUGCCAGCACCGUGAUCUUGGACUUCCCAGCCUCCAGAACUAGGUGGCCUUUCUCAUGAUUUCUACAGCUUUCGAGUGUGGCAAGCAAUGUCCUGGUUUGCUUAUGUUUGUUCAAUGUUUAAAACCCAUCCCUCAGCCCUAAGAAAAGUGUAAAAGAAGGAUUCGUCCUCCCUUCCUUUGGAUGGCAACACUGCUUUCCUGAGCCUGAGCCCUGAAGGGGUCUUCGAAAAUGUGAUCCGUUGAGUGAGGAGUUCCAGCGGAACGUAGAUUCGCUUCGCAAGGAAGAAAGUUCCACUCGGCUCCCGAUGAAUUUAAUCUCUCAAUUUUCCUCCGUUGCUUGGACGUGCUAGAAUGAAACUCAGAUGAGAUGCUGUGAUAAAGAUCCUUCUUCGUUAGUCUCUCUCACAGCUGGGCUUCAUUUAUGUGCCCAUAAACCAGCUCAUCUUUGCAACACAGGAGCGACUCUGAGCUGGGAAACUGAGCUAAACCAAAAAACAGCAAGCUCUUCAUUCAUGAUCUGCAAAGAUGGGAAGCUGCCAAAUGACACUUCCAGGAAGCUUAUCCAUUUACAAAAUGAUCUUCAUGUUGCAGUCAUUUCAACUGAACCAAGGUGGUGUUUUAUUCCAGAAGAAAGUUGUUUCUUUUUAAGUCGAGGCCAGCAAGCAUUGAUAACAAUUCCUGUGGAAGGUUUCAUCUCCCUCCUGAGGCAUUGCGAAGGAUUCUGACCUCCCAGCAUCUUCGUCUGCUGUUGGUGGAACACCAUCUGCCGCGAAUGUAGCUGUCUCUCCACUAGAUAGUCUUUCACCUUUUGAAGCCUAGACAGGUUUCCAUCCAGCUCAACUCAAAUCAAGCUCUCCAAGUAGUCCCUUUGAAGCCACUGCCACUGGAUGGAGCAGGAGAAAGGACUUGCUGUCCUCUGUCCUCCAGCUGCCCAGGACUUCUGCUGAAGACAGGGCAGAGCUACAACAGCCGGAGUGACUCUGGGAAACCCUCUCUGUACUCCAAGCAAGGAUGGUCCAGACUCCAGUGAGGAUGCCUUGGACAUGUGGGUGGGGCCGUCCUCAUGGGUAUGUGACCUGUGUAGUUGUAUAGAGCCUGUGUUCAGAAGAGACCCAUGCUUGGUCUAAUUCUCUGCUGUUACUGUCUUUAAAUUUUUAAUAAUGUUAUCUUUGAAUCUGUUCUUUGUACAUGAAAUGUGAUGGGACAAUGGAGCAUGCACAUGAACAGAGGAGAUACACGCAAUAUUCCUGUCUCCCACUCUCUGAUGCCUCUUUGCAUAUAGAAUUUGUGAUGUCCCCUGAACACAGAAUUUUGGUGGACUCACGAUGUGUGGGAAUUCAGAGACACUCAAAGUGAGUACAAGGAAGCAUGUUAUGUCUACGAUUGAGUGGGUGGGGGCACUGAGUGCCCCGAGAGGUCAUACCUUCCAGUCAAACCAGAACUUGCUUUGAAUGUAGAAAGAAGGCAAUGACAUUCUAAGAAACGCUAAUGACCAAGGGACUCCAUCCUAUUGUGGUCGGCAGAAUAACAGCCCCCAAAGAUGUCCACACCCCAAUCCUUGGAUCCUGUGAAUACGUUGCCUGACACGGCAAAAGCGACUUUGCAGAUGUGAUUAAGGCUAAGGUCUUAAGAUAGGGAGGUUACCCUGGAUGAUCUGAGUGAGUCCUUAAUCACAUGAGCCCUUAAAAGCAGAGAACUUUCUCCAACUGGA
RNAcentral lists this long non-coding RNA (1807 nucleotides) under Equus caballus (horse). RNAcentral describes it as "lncRNA (ENSECAG00000029191.3)". Lineage: Eukaryota; Metazoa; Chordata; Mammalia; Perissodactyla; Equidae. The record is from RNAcentral.